UACAGAGGGUGCAAGCGUUGUUCGGAAUUACUGGGCGUAAAGCGCGUGUAGGCUGCAAUGUAAGUCGGAUGUGAAAGCCCUUGGCUUAACCAAGGAAGUGCAUCUGAUACUGCAUCGCUUGAGUGUCGGAGGGGAUGGCGGAAUUCCCGGUGUAGAGGUGAAAUUCGUAGAUAUCGGGAGGAACACCUGUGGCGAAGGCGGCCAUCUGGACGAUUACUGACGCUGAGACGCGAAAGCGUGGGUAGCAAACAGG
Molecule: ribosomal RNA, 253 nt
Filed under: uncultured bacterium
Lineage: Bacteria
Description: partial 16S ribosomal RNA
Rfam family: Bacterial small subunit ribosomal RNA
Source: RNAcentral